Molecule: long non-coding RNA, 2516 nt
Filed under: Daphnia magna
Lineage: Eukaryota; Metazoa; Arthropoda; Branchiopoda; Diplostraca; Daphniidae
Description: uncharacterized LOC116925649
Source: RNAcentral
GGGGUGGAGUAACAUAGGGCACACUACGACAUACACAACUCACCACCAUCUUUUGUGUUUACUUUGCUUGGACACACACCAGACACACACACACCCUGAGAAACACAGGCGGGAGAAAGUAGAGAACAUUUGGCGUUGCCACGCAUUCGUGUUGCUCUUCAUCUGAGCCAUCUUGGUCCUCUUGUAAACAGCUUCGUCUUGCACUUCGUCUGCUGCAGUUUCCACCAUGCCGCUGAAAAGACGUUCCCAGUUCUGCGAAAGGAAACUCAACUUGACGGCCACCUCCAUUCCGUACUCGGCAAUGUAUUUCAGAUGCGCUGUACGAUUUCGUAAGUGCUUCGUUUCCUAAAAAGGAAUUUUGAAAAAUAUGAAAGUUUUAGAAACCAAGUCACGCACGAGAAAACCAACACAAAAAACAACGUCAGAUUGAUGGAAUGCAUCCACAAGGGCACUGACGGAUCGUUCUAGACCGCAACAUGAUUGCAUCAGCCUCAUUUAAAAAUAGUCCAUUCAUAAACACACCUUGAAAGGUUGAAAAGUGGCACGAAUGGCUCGUUUCCUCAUCAAGAGGUUGUACUCGUUGUCACGUGAUUGUUGCUGUUGUUGGCAGGCAGCCCCGCCGGCGUCCGAAGAUCCAGAAGACGACGACGAUGACGUCUGUCCAGCAUCGUAGAACCGAUCAAAUUGUCUCCGGAUGGCCGUUGAUGGCGCUGUUAACAAGACCAGAGCAUCGAGCGUAUCGUAGUGAUCCUCAGCAUUGGCCACGUCUUCGGGUCCAAUCGGUUCGCCGUCGAUCUGAUCCAACCCGAAUGGAUGCAACCGGUAAAUGGCGUACAACCUCCACGCGGCCCUCAACGGCUCUGGCGUGGGGACGAGCGUCUCGACGCUGACGCUCCACCGAAACCACGACGGGCUUUCCAAUUUGGCCAGGCCGUUGAUCUGACGCAACGUGGGCGGGAUGGCCAUCUUGCGGAAGGCGAAAUUGCGCAAAUUGGGGAAGAGCUUGCGAAGCGACGCGUAAUGAGGGCACAGCUGAUCGAAACUGAGCCCGUAAAAGACGAUCCAUGUGAAACAGUUCCACUUCAUCCGGCGACCAUUGCAUGUUCUGAAGCAUGCGGACAAUGUUGAUGCCGGUGAUGUGUACUUCUUCUUCGCCGACUAUGAUGCGCAAAUCACGCAACUGCUCUUUGAUGUUCAUUCCUAUGGUGGCACUAAGUUUCUGAUUGGCCAACGACGUCGGGCCGAAUUUGUUGGCGCUCGACGAGAGGCUGCGAGUCAAAUUCAUCGCCGUGCUGCCGGACGUAGGUGCGGUCGAGACGCGACAAGCCAACCUGGCGGCCGGCUUCCUCGACUGGUUGGACGCGGUCGAUGCGGUAUCCGAAUCGUCCGAAUCGGAGUUCCACGAGCUGGAAGAAUCGUCAAACUCGAUGGCGACACGCGAUCGAUCGCGUCGUCUGCUACAAUUGCCGCUGCUGUUGAUUCGCUUUCCGGUGGUCCGCUGUUCGAUUGUCUCGUUCCAUUCAGCCGUGGGUGGGCGCAGACUGAAACGGAAGACGGGCUGACUUGACUUGUCUUGACUGUCAUCGGCCGGACGAGGCGCUGCGGCGUUGCACACCAUGGCCGAGAAAGCAAUUUGCCGGAAGGACUUGCGCCGCGGAUGGUCACCGCUCCUGACCAAACACGAUUUAAUGGCGGAUGCCGUCGGCCCCUGAGUCGAACAACGGGGCGGGGGAUCGUUCACAAUCGGCGGGCUCCCAACCUGCGCCGUCAAACCUUCCGGAUGUGGCGGAGGCUCGUGCUGCUCCUGUUCCGGCUGAUUAGUCGUACUCAUGGGCCGGACGACGGCCACAUUUCGCUGGUGGAACUUGCUGGACAUGCCGGAGCUCUUGAUCGCACCGAUUGCAACGCCGGAAGAAGCAGAAGCCUUGUGUUGGACAGUCACAAUCGGGUUGACUUUGUCCAUUUGGCUGCUGGCUGUGCUGGCCGGCAAGCGCUGAGACGACCAGUUCUCCGCCUCGCCUCUCAAUCCGCAAGAGAUGACAUUUUGGUCGAGCAAAACGAGCGAAGGCAUCGAACUGACCGCGUACAGGACGUAGUUGGCGUUGAAAGUCAGCGGAUUGCCGUCCAGCGAUAGCUCCUUCAAUCCGUUGAGCAAACCCAACGGGCUCAGGUCGUCCAGCCUGCAAUGCACCAACACCGUCAUCAUUUGCCGAUAGCCGAGGACUAACGGAUGAACAACGUGAAAAACUAAAUUCGGCAGAAUGAAUUGCAGUUGAUGUAAAAUAAUCGAGGGUCAAAUCCAUUUGCCUAAUGAAUUAUGGCUAAAGUGGCAUUUUUUAUACUUUUUUAAUGAAUACCUUCCGUUUGAAAAGCUGGACAUUUAGCCCGACUACUUUUUGUUCUAGUGCGCACAAUGGAACAAUCCCGCCGCGACACGAGUAAUACCUUUCGUUUAAUGCUCUUUAGCAUGAUUUCUGAAUAUAACACUACAAUGUAGUACACGACAUAUCAAUUUG